This 2915-nucleotide ribosomal RNA is filed under the name Pseudomonas syringae. Its description in RNAcentral is "23S ribosomal RNA". It matches the Rfam family "Bacterial large subunit ribosomal RNA". Lineage: Bacteria; Pseudomonadati; Pseudomonadota; Gammaproteobacteria; Pseudomonadales; Pseudomonadaceae. The record is from RNAcentral. RNAcentral also lists the same sequence under 2 other names.
GUUAUAUGGUCAAGUGAAGAAGCGCAUACGGUGGAUGCCUUGGCAGUCAGAGGCGAUGAAAGACGUGGUAGCCUGCGAAAAGCUUCGGGGAGUCGGCAAACAGACUGUGAUCCGGAGAUGUCUGAAUGGGGGAACCCAGCCAUCAUAAGAUGGUUAUCUUGUACUGAAUACAUAGGUGCAAGAGGCGAACCAGGGGAACUGAAACAUCUAAGUACCCUGAGGAAAAGAAAUCAACCGAGAUUCCCUUAGUAGUGGCGAGCGAACGGGGACCAGCCCUUAAGUUGUAUUGAGAUUAGCGGAACGUUCUGGAAAGGACGGCCAUAGUGGGUGAUAGCCCUGUACGCGAAAAUCCCUUUGCAAUGAAAUCGAGUAGGACGGGGCACGAGAAACCUUGUCUGAAUAUGGGGGGACCAUCCUCCAAGGCUAAAUACUACUGACUGACCGAUAGUGAACCAGUACCGUGAGGGAAAGGCGAAAAGAACCGCGGAGAGCGGAGUGAAAUAGAUCCUGAAACCGUAUGCGUACAAGCAGUGGGAGCCCACUUUGUUGGGUGACUGCGUACCUUUUGUAUAAUGGGUCAGCGACUUAUUUUCAGUGGCGAGCUUAACCGAAUAGGGGAGGCGUAGCGAAAGCGAGUCUUAAUAGGGCGUCUAGUCGCUGGGAAUAGACCCGAAACCGGGCGAUCUAUCCAUGGGCAGGUUGAAGGUUGGGUAACACUAACUGGAGGACCGAACCGACUACCGUUGAAAAGUUAGCGGAUGACCUGUGGAUCGGAGUGAAAGGCUAAUCAAGCUCGGAGAUAGCUGGUUCUCCUCGAAAGCUAUUUAGGUAGCGCCUCAUGUAUCACUGUAGGGGGUAGAGCACUGUUUCGGCUAGGGGGUCAUCCCGACUUACCAAACCGAUGCAAACUCCGAAUACCUACAAGUGCCGAGCAUGGGAGACACACGGCGGGUGCUAACGUCCGUCGUGAAAAGGGAAACAACCCAGACCGUCAGCUAAGGUCCCAAAGUCAUGGUUAAGUGGGAAACGAUGUGGGAAGGCUUAGACAGCUAGGAGGUUGGCUUAGAAGCAGCCACCCUUUAAAGAAAGCGUAAUAGCUCACUAGUCGAGUCGGCCUGCGCGGAAGAUGUAACGGGGCUCAAACCAUGCACCGAAGCUACGGGUAUCAUCUUUUGAUGAUGCGGUAGAGGAGCGUUCUGUAAGCCUGUGAAGGUGAGUUGAGAAGCUUGCUGGAGGUAUCAGAAGUGCGAAUGCUGACAUGAGUAACGACAAUGGGUGUGAAAAACACCCACGCCGAAAGACCAAGGUUUCCUGCGCAACGUUAAUCGACGCAGGGUUAGUCGGUCCCUAAGGCGAGGCUGAAAAGCGUAGUCGAUGGAAAACAGGUUAAUAUUCCUGUACUUCUGGUUAUUGCGAUGGAGGGACGGAGAAGGCUAGGCCAGCCUGGCGUUGGUAGUCCAGGUUUAAGGUGGUAGGCUGAGAUCUUAGGUAAAUCCGGGAUCUUAAGGCCGAGAGCUGAUGACGAGUGUUCUUUUAGAACACGAAGUGGUUGAUGCCAUGCUUCCAAGAAAAGCUUCUAAGCUUCAGGUAACCAGGAACCGUACCCCAAACCGACACAGGUGGUUGGGUAGAGAAUACCAAGGCGCUUGAGAGAACUCGGGUGAAGGAACUAGGCAAAAUGGCACCGUAACUUCGGGAGAAGGUGCGCCGGUGGAGGUGAAGCAUUUACUGCGUAAGCCCCUGCCGGUCGAAGAUACCAGGCCGCUGCGACUGUUUAUUAAAAACACAGCACUCUGCAAACACGAAAGUGGACGUAUAGGGUGUGACGCCUGCCCGGUGCCGGAAGGUUAAUUGAUGGGGUUAGCGCAAGCGAAGCUCUUGAUCGAAGCCCCGGUAAACGGCGGCCGUAACUAUAACGGUCCUAAGGUAGCGAAAUUCCUUGUCGGGUAAGUUCCGACCUGCACGAAUGGCGUAACGAUGGCGGCGCUGUCUCCACCCGAGACUCAGUGAAAUUGAAAUCGCUGUGAAGAUGCAGUGUAUCCGCGGCUAGACGGAAAGACCCCGUGAACCUUUACUAUAGCUUUGCACUGGACUUUGAAUUUGCUUGUGUAGGAUAGGUGGGAGGCUUUGAAGCGUGGACGCCAGUCUGCGUGGAGCCAACCUUGAAAUACCACCCUGGCAACUUUGAGGUUCUAACUCAGGUCCGUUAUCCGGAUCGAGGACAGUGUAUGGUGGGUAGUUUGACUGGGGCGGUCUCCUCCUAAAGAGUAACGGAGGAGUACGAAGGUGCGCUCAGACCGGUCGGAAAUCGGUCGUAGAGUAUAAAGGCAAAAGCGCGCUUGACUGCGAGACAGACACGUCGAGCAGGUACGAAAGUAGGUCUUAGUGAUCCGGUGGUUCUGUAUGGAAGGGCCAUCGCUCAACGGAUAAAAGGUACUCCGGGGAUAACAGGCUGAUACCGCCCAAGAGUUCAUAUCGACGGCGGUGUUUGGCACCUCGAUGUCGGCUCAUCACAUCCUGGGGCUGAAGCCGGUCCCAAGGGUAUGGCUGUUCGCCAUUUAAAGUGGUACGCGAGCUGGGUUUAGAACGUCGUGAGACAGUUCGGUCCCUAUCUGCCGUGGACGUUUGAGAUUUGAGAGGGGCUGCUCCUAGUACGAGAGGACCGGAGUGGACGAACCUCUGGUGUUCCGGUUGUCACGCCAGUGGCAUUGCCGGGUAGCUAUGUUCGGAAAAGAUAACCGCUGAAAGCAUCUAAGCGGGAAACUUGCCUCAAGAUGAGAUCUCACUGGAACCUUGAGUUCCCUAAAGGGCCGUCGAAGACUACGACGUUGAUAGGUUGGGUGUGUAAGCGCUGUGAGGCGUUGAGCUAACCAAUACUAAUUGCCCGUGAGGCUUGACCAUAUAACACCCAAGCA